UAGCAAGAUUGAAGUUUCCUUUUGCGAUUUCUUCAGCUUCUCCUUCUUGAGCCAAAUUAACGGUGCAUCCAGGGAUUUGUAACAGCAGUUCUUCUUUGGGUGUUGUGGUAACUGGGGAUGAUUCAAAUGCAUUUUCAGGGCUGCUGGAGUAGGUAUGGUGUUGGAAAUGUUGGCGCAGGAGGAUGGUGUGGCAAAGGUCAUGGGUCCAGUCCUGGUUAUGUGAUACCAGUAUAUGACCAAGGAAGGGAAGCUCAUGUCGACACUAAAAAUUUCCACCUUUAUAUGGAACUCUUCUUUUGAGUGGAGUUCAUGUUAGUAUUCUGAUGUUAAUGAAGUUGCUGAAGCUUUUAGCUAUGAAGAGUUGGUGGUUCUGCUCUGAUUGGUAGGGUUUUCGCUGCAAAUGUGUCUCCUCCUGGUUAGAGAACACUUUUCAUCAUGAAAUGGCUCAGGGAUUGCUCAACUUGAAAAUCCCUUUGACAGUCUCACCGGUUUCGCUUGGUAUUGCUUUUGCCAAGGCUGCAUUGUAAUUUUCGUUUCUUGGUGCAAGCUUCUCCCAAUCAAGAGCCUGAGCAUCCGAAGAAGUUUUAGAAGUACUGGAAGAAGAAACCCCAGAGAAACAAGAGUGUUCUUUAAGAAAUGAAUCAAGAUCAGUCAAACCACUUCCAGAUUGUUGUGAGAAAGAUACACCAUAGUUAAGAUUCAUAUCUACCAUCCGCAACGAAAAUAAAUAAUCAAGCUCAUCAAGUUUCACCACUGGCUCAUCUUUUGUUAAAGGCCAUUGAAGUUCAUCACCAACCUUAACUAAGACAGCUAAAGGUACAUUCUCGGAAGAAAGCUUAACAAGAUUAAAGUCUCCUUUGGCGAUUUCUACAGCUUCUCCUUCUUGAACCAGAUUUACCGUACAUCCGGGGAGCUGCAACAACAAUUCUUCUUUGGGUGUUGUGGUAACUGCGGAUGAUGCAAAUGCAUUUUCAGGUGAGUGUUUGUACGAAGAUGGUAGACUCUUACUACGAAGACCAAAAGACAUCCUGUCAACCGUAUUUUUGUUUUUAAGUAUAUAUAUCGAUGCAGAACACAAUGAAAUAUAGAGAAGGUACUUUACUAGAGGAAAACUAUAAGUUAUAUAGGAGGGAGAACAGAAGAAAGCUGUAAAUGAAUAAAGAGAAGAGAUGUUUUAGCACAAUGAUAAGAAGAUAUGUCAUGCGUCGAAUCUCCUUUCCUUUCCUGUGGAAGUACUGCACGUAAACACAAUGAGACUUUCGGUUGGAGAUAACUUUAUAUCAUGUUUGGACAAUCCUAAUAUUCCUACUGAAACUCUUACGUAAUUGUCAGUAUACUGGUUGGUUCUCUGGAAAGUGGGUUUGUUCGGUCAUUUCUUUUUAAGGUUUCCAUCUCCUUCAUACACUA
Papaver somniferum (opium poppy) is the source of this 1407-nucleotide long non-coding RNA. RefSeq lists it as uncharacterized. The transcript is spliced from 3 exons. NCBI's taxonomy places the organism in Eukaryota, Viridiplantae, Streptophyta, Magnoliopsida, Ranunculales, Papaveraceae. The record is from RefSeq and is a predicted model, not a curated record.